This 497-nucleotide ribosomal RNA is filed under the name uncultured bacterium. RNAcentral's name for it is "partial 16S ribosomal RNA". It matches the Rfam family "Bacterial small subunit ribosomal RNA", at positions 28 to 507 of the family's 1533-position model. The record is from RNAcentral.
GACGAACGCUGGCGGCGUGCCUAUUACAUGCAAGUAGAACACUGAAGAGAGGAGCUUGCUCUUCUUGGAUGAGUUGCGAACGGGUGAGUAACGCGUAGGUAACCUGCCUUGUAGCGGGGGAUAACUAUUGGAAACGAUAGCUAAUACCGCAUAACAAUGGAUGACGCAUGUCAUUUAUUUGAAAGGGGCAAUUGCUCCACUACAAGAUGGACCUGCGUUGUAUUAGCUAGUAGGUGAGGUAAUGGCUCACCUAGGCGACGAUACAUAGCCGACCUGAGAGGGUGAUCGGCCACACUGGGACUGAGACACGGCCCAGACUCCUACGGGAGGCAGCAGUAGGGAAUCUUCGGCAAUGGGGGCAACCCUGGCCGAGCAACGCCGCGUGAGUGAAGAAGGUUUUCGGAUCGUAAAGCUCUGUUGUAAGUCAAGAACGGGUGUGAGAGUGGAAAGUUCACACUGUGACGGUAGCUUACCAGAAAGGGACGGCUAACUACGUG